UACGUAGGGGGCAAGCGUUGUCCGGUUUUAUUGGGCGUAAAGAGCGUGUAGGCGGCCAUACAGGUCAGCUGUGAAAACUCGAGGCUCAACCUCGAGACGUCGGUUGAAACCGUAUGGCUAGAGUCCGGAAGAGGAGAGUGGAAUUCCCGGUGUAGCGGUGAAAUGCGCAGAUAUCGGGAAGAACACCCGUGGCGAAGGCGGCUCUCUGGGACGGUACUGGACGCUGAGACGCGAAAGCGUGGGGAGCGAACAGG
This 254-nucleotide ribosomal RNA is filed under the name uncultured bacterium. RNAcentral describes it as "partial 16S ribosomal RNA". It matches the Rfam family "Bacterial small subunit ribosomal RNA", at positions 524 to 776 of the family's 1533-position model. The record is from RNAcentral.